GCUGGGUAUGGUGAUGCACGCCUGUAAUCCCAGCAAUUCUGGAGGCUGAGGCAGGAGGAGCACAAGUUUAAAGCCCACCUCAGCGAUUCAGCGAGGUCUUGAGCAACUUUGUGAGACCUGGUCUCAA
This 127-nucleotide small RNA is filed under the name Marmota monax (woodchuck). Lineage: Eukaryota; Metazoa; Chordata; Mammalia; Rodentia; Sciuridae. The record is from RNAcentral.